This 253-nucleotide ribosomal RNA is filed under the name uncultured bacterium. Its description in RNAcentral is "partial 16S ribosomal RNA". It matches the Rfam family "Bacterial small subunit ribosomal RNA", at positions 524 to 776 of the family's 1533-position model. The record is from RNAcentral.
UACGGAGGGUGCGAGCGUUGUCCGGAAUCAUUGGGCGUAAAGGGCGCGUAGGCGGCCCGGUCAGCGUGCGGUGAAAGCUCGGGGCUCAACCCCGAGUCGGCCGUGCGAACUGCUGGGCUGGAGCACUGUAGAGGCAGGCGGAAUUCCGGGUGUAGCGGUGGAAUGCGUAGAGAUCCGGAAAAACACCGGUGGCGAAGGCGGCCUGCUGGGCAGUGGCUGACACUGAGGCGCGACAGCGUGGGGAGCAAACAGG